GAGAUUGCUCCUCUUGGAGUCUUCUCAGCGAGCCCAGGACCAGGGAACAAAAAAAGAAAUUACUGGAAAAUCUUCAUAGCGGAUCUCCCUCCGCCCACAGAGUGGUGGGAAUAAACAUCACAACUUCAGAUCUUGGUGAAUGCAGAUAAAUAGAGGCUUAGCUGAUAAGUUAACGACAUACCAAAACCAGAUUGCUUGAAGUCUGAAAUAAUAAGAAGCCGAUGAGCAGAAUGCUGGAAUCCUGACAAAACACUGCUUUCUGCUUUGAGAGGAGGAAGCCUGGCCUGGUGCUCAGGAUGGAAGUGGAGGAAGAUGGCAUGGGGAGCCCGGAGUAUCAAUAGAGAAUCCAGCUCUCCUGGGUCCAUCUCUUUUGUCUUGCCCUUGAAACAUCCUUAUCCACCAAAGUAAGUCUGAAAAAAGAGCCAUUCUUCUGGCACAACUCCAUCGUGGACCCACUGGCUCUGCUCUCUUGAUUCCCCUGCCGACCUAAGCAAUGCCUGCUCCAUCAUGGAUGUGCUCUGGCAAUGAAGCAUUGAGGCCAGGGCUGUUCUUGGAGGAACUGAGGCUCAGAAAAGUUCAGGAGUGCGCCAAGUUGUGUGGGUUGAAUCCAACUCUUCCAUGUCUCAGGCAGUGAAAAUGAAGGGGGGGGGAAGGAAGUGGAAAACUUUGGGAUAUUCUCCCAAAACACUUCCAAGAAAAUCCUUUGGAAAUUAUUUUUUCCCACAGCACUCUUGUAGACUGAAUUUAUGCAAAUCCUCUGUGGUUGUGCUCUUCAUUUGUACGUUUUUAAAUCAAUGUGUGGUUAUGAUUGAGAUAUUUAAAAAAAAUACUAAUAAUCUUCUGCUGAAAACCAAUUUUAUUCAUGUAUAGACCAUGGAAAGAUGAGUGGUGCAGCAUUUGUUGAGGAAGGUGUUGGAUGCUGAGAACAGGUUGCUCUGGGGUCUGCCUCAUUUGUCCCUCUUUGUAGAGAUAGAAGGCUUGAUGCUGCUUGGCAGUUCACAGGAUUGGGCUGCUGAGUAAAUGGCAAAUUCAUUUAGAGAUAUCUAGUGAAUGCACAGAAUAAGCUGCCAGCUCUCUUCUUAGAGCCAACAGUUCACUAAUUUUAAUCACCAGCUGGAUAUUUUUAUGGGGAGUGAAGAGACGGAGGGGUAUUAUGACAGAACAAGGGAGGUGGGAUUAGACUAAUCUAACCCAGGCCAAGUGGGCUCUUCCUGCUCAGCCAUGUGCAGUGUCAUGACUGUGUGAUUUAGACUACCGCACGCUCACCAGCACUGAUAAGGAGGACAAUUAUGGGGCACGUAAUUGUCUCCUCAACCCUUGGAGCUGAGGAGCGUCUCCAGCUCUGAGUUAGAGCCAUUCCCCACGGCGGGGAUGUGGGUCCUGAUGACUGCUCCCCAGGGCUCUUGUGAUGUUGCUCCCCAUGGAUUCUGGUGUGCGCUCUGCUCUUGGAUGGCGCUCGCCCUUGCCUUGUCCCAAGCAAAAACUCAGCAAGACAUUUGCUGAGCUCCUUCAUCCUGCUGUAGAAAUGUGGUGGGUGGCAGCUACAUUAUCACCUUUGGAGAAAGCUUCUCUGUGUUAUGUCUCUGAGUCCCUCAAGAGUAGUUUCUCUGGUUAAUUGUCAUGUUUCCCCGUAAUGUCUGGUUCUCUCCAUGUCCUUCCUCACCUUCCGCUUACUCAUACCCAGCUGAGACUCGUGCCAGACUGUCGCUGCCUGAGUGUGUCCAACAAAUCAAGGCAAAAGGCACAGUGCCACCUCUCCCAGCCUUGGUUUUACUGGAUACUCCUGGUAGGAAGCAUGGGAAGUGGUAUCCAGAGCCAAAUUUUUCCUCCCCCCCCCCCCCCCGUUUUGUUUUGUUUUGUUUUUGGAAUAACCCUCU
Molecule: long non-coding RNA, 1877 nt
Organism: Lagopus leucura (white-tailed ptarmigan)
Lineage: Eukaryota; Metazoa; Chordata; Aves; Galliformes; Phasianidae
Exons: 3
Source: RefSeq, a predicted model, not a curated record